UCUUCUUUCUUAUCUCUCUCUCUCUCUCUCAUCUCUUCUCUCUCCUCUCUGUCUCUUUCUUAUCUCUCUCGCCUCUCUAUCUCUUCCUUCUUAUCUAUCUCUCCUCUCUGUCUCUUCUCUCUUAUCUCUCUCUCUCUCUUCUCUCACCUCUCUGUCUCUUCUUUCUUAUCUCUCUCUCUCUCUUCUCUCACCUCUCUGUCUCUUCUUUCUUAUCUCUCUCUCUCUUCUCUCACCUCUCUGUCUCUUCUUUCUUAUCUCUCUCUCUCUCACUCUCUCUCUCUCUCUCUCGUUCGCUCGCUCAGUUGGGUGUGUGGUAUAAGACCUCGUUAGUCUAGCCCGGACCCAAGUCUCUACCCGUAAAAGCCUGUAAGGAUUUCCCAUGGAAAGUUCACUGCCGCUCCUCUUUAUCUCUCCUCCACUCAGCCCUCUACAGGAACAGUGAAAACCGAGGAAGGUUCACAGUAGGAUAUCUUUUCCUCCUUCCUGU
This 487-nucleotide long non-coding RNA is filed under the name Spirodela polyrhiza (greater duckweed). Its description in RNAcentral is "long non-coding RNA (SPOL_LNC001416)". Lineage: Eukaryota; Viridiplantae; Streptophyta; Magnoliopsida; Alismatales; Araceae. The record is from RNAcentral.